RNAcentral lists this unclassified non-coding RNA (345 nucleotides) under soil metagenome. RNAcentral's name for it is "partial contains 5.8S ribosomal RNA, internal transcribed spacer 2, and large subunit ribosomal RNA". The stretch from base 1 to 120 matches the Rfam family "5.8S ribosomal RNA", at positions 35 to 154 of the family's 154-position model. The record is from RNAcentral.
GAUGAAGAACGUAGCGAAAUGCGAUACGUAAUGUGAAUUGCAGAAUUCAGUGAAUCAUCGACUCUUUGAACGCACAUUGCGCCCCCUGGUAUUCCGGGGGGCAUGCCUGUCCGAGCGUCAUUGCUGCCCUCAAGCACGGCUUGUGUGUUGGGCCUCCGUCCUCCUCCCGGGGGACGGGCCCGAAAGGCAGCGGCGGCACCGCGUCCGGUCCUCGAGCGUAUGGGGCUUCGUCACCCGCUCUUGUAGGCCCGGCCGGCGCUUGCCGACACAUCAAUCUUUUUUCCAGGUUGACCUCGGAUCAGGUAGGGAUACCCGCUGAACUUAAGCAUAUCAAUAAGCGGAGGA